Non-coding RNA from Oryza barthii, 200 nucleotides. Lineage: Eukaryota; Viridiplantae; Streptophyta; Magnoliopsida; Poales; Poaceae. The record is from Rfam.
AAUAAGUGCAGUUUUGUACUAUUUAUCUCCAACGUUUGACCGUUCAUCUUAUUUAAAAUUUUUUUUAUGUUUACUAUUUUUAUUGUUAUUAGAUCAUAAAACAUGAAUAGUAUUUUAUGCAUGGCUUAUUUUUUUUAACUUUUUUUCAAAUAAGACAUAUGGUCAAACGUUGAACACAAAAACCCACAAGUGCACUUAAA